Molecule: long non-coding RNA, 972 nt
Organism: Astatotilapia calliptera (eastern happy)
Lineage: Eukaryota; Metazoa; Chordata; Actinopteri; Cichliformes; Cichlidae
Source: Ensembl
CUCAGAAACACAUGUUUGUGGCUUUAUCUUAUAGAACUCAAUAUCCUCGUGCUGGGCAAACAGGUUUUGCAGCCGUUUGAGCUAAGAUUUUAAAAUUAUUCACAUAAUGAAAACCUAUACUUUGUCUCGGGCGAGUUUCCCAUUCAAAUGCAUGUAACAGUGAGAAACACACUGUCUUGGCGAAAGAAAGCAUUUUUGUACAACUUCAUAUAAAUCGCUGUAACUUUUGAUAGAAGACUCAGAAACACAUGUUUAUGGCUUUAUCUUAUAGAACUCAAUAUCCCCGUGCUGGGCAAACAGGUUUUGCAGCCGUUUGAGCUAAGAUUUUAAAAUUAUUCACAUAAUGAAAACCUAUACUUUGUUUCAGGCGAGUUUCCCAUUCAAAUGCAUGUAACAGUGAGAAACACACUGUCUUGGCGAAAUAAAGCGUUUUUGUACAACUUUAUAUAAAUCGGUGCAACUUUUGAUAGACGACUCAGAAACACAUGUCUAUGGCUUCAUCUUAAAGAAUUCAAUAUCCUCGUGCUGGGCAAACAGGUUUUGCAGCCGUUUGAGCUAAGAUUUUAAAAUUAUUCACAUAAUGAAAACCUAUACUUUGUCUCGGGCGAGUUUCCCAUUCAAAUGCAUGUAACAGUGAGAAACACACUGUCUUGGCGAAAUAAAGCGUUUUUGCACAACUUUAUAUAAAUCGGUGCAACUUUUGAUAGACGACUCAGAAACACAUGUCUAUGGCUUCAUCUUAAAGAAUUCAAUAUCCUCGUGCUGGGCAAACAGGUUUUGCAGCCGUUUGAGCUAAGAUUUUAAAAUUAUUCACAUAAUGAAAACCUAUACUUUGUCUCGGGCGAGUUUCCCAUUCAAAUGCAUGUAACAGUGAGAAACACAUUGUCUUGGCGAAAUAAAGCUUUUUUGUACAACUUUAUAUAAAUCGGUGCAACUUUUGAUAGAAGACUCAGAAACACAUGUUUAUGGCUU